GCACUGACGAAGAGUGCUAGACUAGGACGAAACAGCUGUCCAGUAC
Molecule: non-coding RNA, 46 nt
Filed under: Trichobilharzia regenti
Lineage: Eukaryota; Metazoa; Platyhelminthes; Trematoda; Strigeidida; Schistosomatidae
Source: RNAcentral